This 663-nucleotide ribosomal RNA is filed under the name uncultured bacterium. RNAcentral's name for it is "bacterial SSU rRNA". It matches the Rfam family "Bacterial small subunit ribosomal RNA", at positions 29 to 719 of the family's 1533-position model. The record is from RNAcentral.
AUGAACGCUGGCGGCAGGCCUAACACAUGCAAGUCGAACGGAGUUAUAUUGUAGCUUGCUAUGGUAUAACUUAGUGGCAGACGGGUGAGUAAUGUAUAGGAAUCUACCUAGUAGUACGGAAUAAUUGUUGGAAACGGCAACUAAUACCGUAUACGCCCUACGGGGGAAAAAUUUAUUGCUAUUAGAUGAGCCUAUAUUAGAUUAGCUAGUUGGUGGAGUAAUAGCCUACCAAGGCAAUGAUCUAUAGCUGAUCUGAGAGGAUGAUCAGCCACACUGGAACUGAGAUACGGUCCAGACUCCUACGGGAGGCAGCAGUGGGGAAUAUUGGACAAUGGGCGAAAGCCUGAUCCAGCCAUGCCGCAUGAGUGAAGAAGGCCUUUGGGUUGUAAAGCUCUUUUAGUGAGGAAGAUAAUGACGGUACUCACAGAAGAAGUCCUGGCUAACUCCGUGCCAGCAGCCGCGGUAAUACGGAGAGGGCUAGCGUUAUUCGGAAUUAUUGGGCGUAAAGGGCGCGUAGGCGGAUUAGUAAGUUAAAAGUGAAAUCCCAAGGCUCAACCUUGGAAUUGCUUUUAAAACUGCUAAUCUAGAGAUUGAGAGAGGAUAGAGGAAUUCCUAGUGUAGAUGNNAAUUNNCGUAAAUAUUAGGAGAACACCCAGUGGCGAA